CAGUGAAGCUGUCUGGAUCGCAACCCUUCAAGGGCUUCAUCAUACAGAGCAGCGGUCCGGCUGGCGAGUUUAGCUUCGGGUCCGACGCGAUCAAGGUCGGCUGCUCCCAGGCCACCAUCCGUCACAAAAACGCCCUUCCUAAGACCUCCGUCUCGGCCACGUGGAAGCCGUCUGGGAGCGGCACAGUCUCCUUCAAGGGAACUGUUGUCGAAGAUUUCAAGAACUUUUACGAGCUGAGUGCCGUGUCUGCUUGAGGGAAGAUCAGCGUGAAGUAACACAAGCUCAUUGCCACGUCAACGGAUUUCAGAACUUGCUGGCACGAAAGUCGUACUAUAUCUCGUGAACACGAGGCCUUGGAUGCUGUAUAAGACGAGGGAAGCGGGUUUAUUUUAUCUGUAUUCGGUAGUGGUAACAGUGAAGUUAUAAAGCUGGCCCGCUAGGCCUGUUAGGCCCGUUAGGCCCGCUAAGUAUACUUUAGGCGCGAGGCCAGCCACCUUCACUCGUGGUCCUUUUCAAUCGGCGUCUCUCACGAUGUUGGUAUCUUCCUUUCACGGCUGACAUCUGGCAAUGAAAGGUUGUCCCAUCGCCUGAGUUCAUCGUCAAGUCGUAACAGCAGUGGCAAGCCACCGGAAGAGCGAUGAACAUUUUAAUUGAUUUUUCGCAUUGCCGGUAGAUUUUAUUAAAUCAUUUAAAGUAGGGUGGUGUCUUGCGUUUUAUUUGUGUUUCGUUAGCACAGUAAUAAAACGAUCAUGGCGUCCUGAAUAAAAACAAUGAGGUGUGAAAUA
This is a long non-coding RNA of Pollicipes pollicipes, 785 nucleotides long. RefSeq lists it as uncharacterized. The record is from RefSeq and is a predicted model, not a curated record. Lineage: Eukaryota; Metazoa; Arthropoda; Thecostraca; Pollicipedomorpha; Pollicipedidae. The transcript has 4 exons.